Molecule: ribosomal RNA, 427 nt
Filed under: uncultured bacterium
Lineage: Bacteria
Description: partial 16S ribosomal RNA
Rfam family: Bacterial small subunit ribosomal RNA
Source: RNAcentral
UGGGGAAUAUUGCACAAUGGGCGCAAGCCUGAUGCAGCCAUGCCGCGUGUAUGAAGAAGGCCUUCGGGUUGUAAAGUACUUUCAGCGAGGAGGAAGGCGUUGUGGUUAAUAACCGCAACGAUUGACGUUACUCGCAGAAGAAGCACCGGCUAACUCCGUGCCAGCAGCCGCGGUAAUACGGAGGGUGCAAGCGUUAAUCGGAAUUACUGGGCGUAAAGCGCACGCAGGCGGUCUGUCAAGUCGGAUGUGAAAUCCCUGGGCUCAACCUGGGAACUGCAUCCGAAACUGGCAGGCUAGAGUCUUGUAGAGGGGGGUAGAAUUCCAGGUGUAGCGGUGAAAUGCGUAGAGAUCUGGAGGAAUACCGGUGGCGAAGGCGGCCCCCUGGACAAAGACUGACGCUCAGGUGCGAAAGCGUGGGGAGCAAACA